RNAcentral lists this long non-coding RNA (212 nucleotides) under Nicotiana benthamiana. RNAcentral's name for it is "long non-coding RNA (NBEN_LNC025607)". The record is from RNAcentral. Lineage: Eukaryota; Viridiplantae; Streptophyta; Magnoliopsida; Solanales; Solanaceae.
UAAGGCAAACACAUAACAGUAAUCAUUUUCGCUAAUUCUUUACGAUCCUUAAUUGGAUCGUAAUAUAAAAUACCUCCGGUGACUGUGUUUAUUCCUGGUUGAACUAGAUUUGAACCAGUACUUGGGUUAACUGUAGAAUCACCACUUGUCCUCCCCUCUUGUUGCGCUUUCAAUUGCAAAUAUCUAGCCUUAUCGCUAGGGUGUAAUCUUAU